Pteropus vampyrus (large flying fox) is the source of this 125-nucleotide non-coding RNA. Lineage: Eukaryota; Metazoa; Chordata; Mammalia; Chiroptera; Pteropodidae. The record is from Rfam.
CACCGUUUCAGUGGCAUUUAAAUCCCCGGCGCUCCUCAGUCUAGGUGACGCGCAGUCGCCCCCCCAGGCAGCCCAGGCGACGGCGGCAGCUGCGACGGCUGCAAGGACAGAUUCGCAGCGCUGGG